CUGAAUGUGCCUCAGGGACGCGCGCGCGCUGCAGUCCCGGCAGUUUAGUGGUGAGAAGAUAGUAUUUCGCGGUGCCCUUUGUCGACCCUGCUCUGCGGGGCGGGGAAGGUCUGGGCCGCCGAGAGGCGUGUUCGAGCUACCACAACUCCUUGCUCUGAGAGGGUGGGACGGGGAGGUGUGCUGCCCGGUGAUGUUGGUGAGGGGAGAGAGGGACUGCUGCAACUCUGGGGAAAACAAGUCGGCUCUUCCGUGGAGCUCGGGAGACAUUUAUUACAAGACUGUUUCUCAUGGAAUAAGAACAUGUAGUUUCAUGGUGCAAGGCUGCCUGAUGUUUCCCAGGUUUGAGUGGCCCUGGUAGAAAAAGGAAAAUUCGACAAGGUCAGGAGAGAGAAGAACAUAUUUAUCCUAAAAUAAGAAUGAUGACCGUGUCCCACGUGUACAGAAGGGGAAGAAGAGCUGAGACAUGAAGCAACAAUAAAUGGAGUUUUCUAAGCCUGCUGUAACAUAAUGAAAACCAAAUAGUUCUGGAUGAAAAUGAGAGAAGUUAUCCGUGUAGUGAAAACUGUUUACAUUGGUGAGUUUUUUCCCAACCUUUUUUUUUUUUCUGACUGUUGCCUUUAAUAAGAAAAUCAUCAUGACUGAGAACAUACACAUAUUUGAGAUAUAUAUAUAUGAAUAGAUAUAACUGAAAAAAGGUCUUUGUGAAGCAACAUGUGUGUUUAUUAUUUGAAAUGAAUUUGAAUCUCUUCCAGUCUGCGUUUUUUCAUUAAUUUUUUCUCUAGACCACUAAUGUGUUGCCAGCUGCAGUAUGAAUAACACUUUUUGGUGAUAUGUUCUUCCCAAGGAAGUGGUUUAUAGAUUUCACUGCCUGCAUGUUAUUGCUUGUACUCAUGGAGAUGUUUUUGCAUGGCAGAAAUAAAGUGGAAGAUUGAUCUUCGCCUCCCCAGGAGGAAUGAAAGGCUGUGAAAGGGAGAUGAUCCCAGCUAAUCACCUUGGCUCAAUGUAGCUUGGACUGUGGGUGCUGUACAUGCCUGUUACUCAAUUUUAUGUUGGUCAGGUUAGGACAAAUGUGUUCCAGUGUCUUCUUGGAAGAUCCUGAAACUGAAACCAGGUUGGGUUACAUCUUUAAGGGAAAAAGAAGUAUCUCUGGGACACUCCAGGGAGAAGAGACAGCUCAAGGAUGUUUUUGUUGGUGGAGGAGAAAGGAGGUGGGAAAGGGAGAGUGAAGUUAACUCUUUCAAACAGUGGUGAGGCCAGGGCUGUUGGCACAGAUGCUCUUCAGAGACUAGUUGUCAGCUUUGUUACACGUCGUUGUAAUGGAUGCUGUUGGUGCCCACCCACAUCCCUUUUAAGGACCCCAGUGCCAUCCCUCAGCAGCUAUGAGUGUUGCCUGUCCAUCCCUGCCUCUUUCUCUGGAGAUUUGCCCUUGGCAGAAUGGGAGUCUCUUCAUUUGGGAGGUUUCAUUGCCUCACUCCCCAAGUGGCUAUGGCCAGUGAUAGAUUGACAUGGGAUCCAAAAGACUGGCCCUUUUGCCUUCAAGGUGGUACUGUCCUCUGGUACAAUUUGUACUCCAGAAUUCCCUCCCUGUGGGAUCAGGUUGAAGCUGAAUUCCCAAUGAAAGCCUAUGAUUACUUCACUCCUUCCCCUGCCCCAUCCUGCUUCCAUCAUUCCUCUUCUCUCGCCCAUAAGAAAUCACAUGCCUAAGAAUUCUCAUCUCAGGUUCCAGUUCUAGGGAAUCUAACCUAAGACAGUUACUUCUGUGUUGUAACUUCCUCAUCUAGUAAUUUUAUCAUUACUUAAUAUUAUGUUCUUAUUACUACAAACUGAAGCCUUGUAUUUCAUUUCAGAAAUUAGGGAAGCUGACCCAGGCCAUGCUUUGGGUGAAGCAAUACAAAGGGGUGAUGCAGGAAUGCAAGGGAAGUGAAUCCUGGGUGUGGACAGUGACCAGCAGCAGGGUCAUGAGUGGCCCCAUGGGUGGAGGAGAGGAGUGCUUCCAAUCAGGAGAGGACUGACUCAGCUGGAAACAACCAAGGCAAUUCCUAGAAAAUGUAAACUUUCCCUUUUAUUUGUGGAGAGGAGUCAAGCAAAGCCUGGACCUACUGACAAAUCUGAUGGGACUUAACACUGUUGGAAUUUAGGGACCAGGAAUGAAUUGAUCUCAUCUUGUCUGUAUAGGCUCUUGGCAUAGUCUCAUUUCCAAGUGCUACUGUAGCAAAUGACCACAAACUUAGUGACUUAAAACAAAUUUAUUAUAAUUGUGGAGGUCAGAAGUCUGAAAUGGGUUUGCAGGACUGCAUACCUUCUGAAUGUUCUAGCAGAUAAUCUGUUUCCUUGCCUUUUCUGACUUCUAGAGGCCACCUGCAAUUCCUUGGCUCAUGGCCUUCCUCUUUCUUCAAAGCCAGCAGUGUAGCAUCCUCACAUCUCUGUCUGUCUGUCUGUCUCUCUGUUCCUCAGCUUCUGCUAUCAAAUCACCUAACUCCUCUUGCGUCCCUUUUAUAAGUACUCUUGUGAAAACAUUGGGCAUACCCAGAUCAUCCAGGAUAAUCUCUCCAUCUCAAGAUCCUUAAUUUUUUUUUUCUUUUUGGCUGCAUGCACGGCAUGUGGACGUUCUGGGGCUAGGGAUCGAACCCACACCACAGCAGUAACCAAAGCCACAGCAGUGGCAAUGCCAGAUGUUUAACCCACUGAGCCACCAGGAAACUCCUCAAGAUCCUUAAUUUAAUAACAUCUAAAAAAAAAAAAAA
RNAcentral lists this long non-coding RNA (2744 nucleotides) under Sus scrofa (pig). Its description in RNAcentral is "lncRNA (ENSSSCG00055026264.1)". Lineage: Eukaryota; Metazoa; Chordata; Mammalia; Artiodactyla; Suidae. The record is from RNAcentral.